AACGAACGCUGGCGGCAGGCCUAACACAUGCAAGUCGAGCGCGCCCUUCGGGGUGAGCGGCGGACGGGUGAGUAACGCGUGGGAACGUGCCCUUUUCUACGGAAUAGCCUCGGGAAACUGAGAGUAAUACCGUAUACGCCCUUUGGGGGAAAGAUUUAUCGGAAAAGGAUCGGCCCGCGUUGGAUUAGGUAGUUGGUGGGGUAAUGGCCUACCAAGCCGACGAUCCAUAGCUGGUUUGAGAGGAUGAUCAGCCACACUGGGACUGAGACACGGCCCAGACUCCUACGGGAGGCAGCAGUGGGGAAUCUUAGACAAUGGGGGCAACCCUGAUCGAGCCAUGCCGCGUGAGUGAUGAAGGCCUUAGGGUCGUAAAGCUCUUUCAGCUGGGAUGAUAAUGACGGUACCAGCUGAAGAAGCCCCGGCUAACUCCGUG
Molecule: ribosomal RNA, 433 nt
Filed under: uncultured bacterium
Lineage: Bacteria
Description: partial 16S ribosomal RNA
Rfam family: Bacterial small subunit ribosomal RNA
Source: RNAcentral